CAAUAGCGUAUAUUUAAGUUGUUGCAGUUAAAAAGCUCGUAGUUGGAUUUCGGGUGUGAACGACCGGUCCGUCUUUGAUGUGUACUGGUUGGUUGCGCCUUAUUGUCGAGGACGUGGUUCUAGCUUUCAUUAGCCGGGACACGGAGUCGGCAGCGUUACUUUGAGAAAAUUAGAGUGUUCAAAGCAGGCUAUCGCUCUGAAUACUACAGCAUGGAAUAACACGAUAGGACUCCGAGCCUAUUCUGUUGGUCUUCGGGACCGGAGUAAUGAUUAAGAGGGACAGUUGGGGGCAGUCGUAUUCCGAUGUCAGAGGUGAAAUUCUUGGAUUAUCGGAAGACGAACAUCUGCGAAAGCAUUUGCCAAGGAUGUUUUCAUUAA
This 378-nucleotide ribosomal RNA is filed under the name uncultured eukaryote. Its description in RNAcentral is "partial 18S ribosomal RNA". It matches the Rfam family "Eukaryotic small subunit ribosomal RNA", at positions 592 to 976 of the family's 1831-position model. The record is from RNAcentral.